CAUAGAGGCCAUAUCACCCUGCAACUCACACCUGGCAACCCACUGAAGCUCAGCAGGUGUGAGCCUGGUCAGUACCUGAAUGGGAGACCUCCUGGGAAAAACUAAGGUUGCUGCUGGAA
Molecule: ribosomal RNA, 119 nt
Filed under: Lepisosteus oculatus (spotted gar)
Lineage: Eukaryota; Metazoa; Chordata; Actinopteri; Semionotiformes; Lepisosteidae
Source: RNAcentral